GUGCUCGCUUUGGCGGCACAUAUACUAAAACUGGAACGAUACAG
This 44-nucleotide small nuclear RNA is filed under the name Cervus elaphus hippelaphus. Lineage: Eukaryota; Metazoa; Chordata; Mammalia; Artiodactyla; Cervidae. The record is from RNAcentral.